AGCAAAUCUGCUAACUCUUUUCCUCCUUGCACCAACGGAGACAUCUUAACUACAAUAAUUUUGGAAGCCCCCUAAGCUACAGAGACACAUGAAGUGAAACUGGCAGGAGCUCUCAACACAGCCUUGCAUUCUACAAUGAUUCUAGCAAUGGAUAAUAGUGAUUAGCUCUGAGCUAACAUCUGCUGCCAAUCCUCCUCUUUUUGCUGAGGAAGACUGGCCCUGAGCUGACAUCCAUGCCCAUUUUCCUCUCUUUUAUAUGUGG
Molecule: long non-coding RNA, 262 nt
Filed under: Equus caballus (horse)
Lineage: Eukaryota; Metazoa; Chordata; Mammalia; Perissodactyla; Equidae
Description: lncRNA (ENSECAG00000060013.1)
Source: RNAcentral